RNAcentral lists this transfer RNA (88 nucleotides) under Actinoplanes derwentensis. RNAcentral describes it as "tRNA-Gly". Lineage: Bacteria; Bacillati; Actinomycetota; Actinomycetes; Micromonosporales; Micromonosporaceae. The record is from RNAcentral.
GGCCAUCUCGGACCGGUGCCGCUCGCCGCCGUCGCCAUCGGCGGAACCGUGAUGUCGAUGGGUGUGUGGUUCGGCACCCUGAUGGCCU